Long non-coding RNA from Arachis stenosperma, 1090 nucleotides. RefSeq lists it as uncharacterized. NCBI's taxonomy places the organism in Eukaryota, Viridiplantae, Streptophyta, Magnoliopsida, Fabales, Fabaceae. The record is from RefSeq and is a predicted model, not a curated record. The transcript has 4 exons.
UUGAGGCCAAACGCAUGCAUGAACAGUUUGCUUAAUGGUUGCAAGCAUAGUUGAAAAAAACCGGACUGACCAGGGAGAUCAGACCGAAAAACCGGUGACCUUGGCUGAUUCGGGUUGAGAAUUGGACUGCACAAAGAACAAAAUCGAUGAGAAGUUGAGAACAGAUUGGACUCGGCGGAUUUUGUAAAAAUCGGUGAACCAACAGAUUUGAAAACUCGAACCGUUGAACGAAGUCCCACCGCGACCGCACCCUAGCUCUCUCACUCACUCACACUCUCUACUAGUCUCUAAACGGCACACCAUAGACAAAGAGAUAGAGCUAGGAGUUCACCGCCACCGCAUGCUCGAUGCCGUCAUUGCUCUUCUCGCGGGAUCUUCCAUGUCGUGUGCUCGCGUCUGGCCUCUCUCCUGAGGUCGGUCGGCUGCUCGCGCCUUCUCGCCUCCACGUAUGCUCGAGCGGUGUUUCCUGCUCGUGUCGUCACUGCGCCUCCCUCGCCUCUCUCCCUCCUUGCGUCUGUACUCGAACUUUAUCGUCUCUCGUGUGCUCGUCGCCGGCGAUCUUGGUCCUUAUCCCUCAUGUUCUGCUAGUUCUUCCUGUUGUAAACAUAAGGAGGAGGACUACCGCAAUGCCGCUAGCUUAUCCGCGUCACAUUCUUGCUCCUUCUCUUUCAUGCUCUACUCGUUGAAAGACCACCGAAGUAAAAAUGACAAGAGUUAAGGUGAAAAAAAAAUACAAUCAAACCAAGGAUUUGAGAUGUUCUACGCGACUAUUAAUGAAAAGUUUGAAAAAAUGAGUGAGGCAAAUAAGGCCAUCGUUUGCGAAUUAGGAUUUGGUGGUCUCAUGCACAUCCGGCCGAUGAAUGUGCCACACAAACUCUUGAAGGAGUUGGUUAAUUCCUUUAAUUUGGACAAAAAUAAAUUAGACACAAGGCACGGUUCGUUGAAAAUUAAACCCAAAAAAAUAGGAGCUACCCUUGGUCUCAAUGCAUCAGAUAACUGAUUAUAGAAAAUCUUUAUACUUGUAUUUUGUAAUAUCUUAGUCUGAUCUCAUGUAAUCAAGAAACAAAUUUAGUUGUAUAUGAUUGGUAUU